Long non-coding RNA from Gavialis gangeticus (Gharial), 765 nucleotides. RefSeq lists it as uncharacterized. NCBI's taxonomy places the organism in Eukaryota, Metazoa, Chordata, Crocodylia, Gavialidae. The transcript is spliced from 2 exons. The record is from RefSeq and is a predicted model, not a curated record.
CAUGGGGCAUGGUGUAGGGAAGGAUUUGGAGCCAUGCAAUUAACCCUUAAGGCUUUGGGUGCCCUGCCAGGCACAGUUGACUAUAGAGACCCAGUGAGAGGCCUGAGGACCAGUAGGUUGCUGAGAAACCCUGGCAGGGCUUCAGUGGAACUGGGGCCAUGCAAGGGCCCAUUGGCAACCCCCCUAUUCCAUAUUAAUUGUUACACCAUAGAGGCAUGGCGGGUGAGAUGGGAAAGCACCCUAGAGGCAGAGUGGGGCAUGGUUGCAGGGCCACCAAGGGGCAUCACAGUCACCCAUGGGAUCCCAACCUUGUUAUAGACAGUUACAAUGGAAAUGAGUCUGCAAUGAAAAAUACAAUGAAAAUACUUUUUAAAUGAAUGCCCUACUGCAGUGUUCAAUCUCCUCCCCCAAAGAAUCUCUGAAAUUGAAACUGACUUCAUUGGUUUUGUUUUCUUCUCAAUCAAUCUAUGUAUUUAUACACCCACCAUCCUCCUUGGAGCUGAACGCCAGGACUGAAUCAGAGAGAUCUAGGGCUGGAAGAGACUUAAAGGGAUCACCUACUCCAACAGGCCAUCCACACGAAGGCCAGGUCAGCUAUCCACAGUUGGCAGAUCAUGACAUCCCCACUGAAACCAUUACUGGAUUGGGUCUACCUGUGGCUGGCUAUCUCAGAACAAGUCUUCAAAGGGUCCUUUUCUCUUUCAACUCCCUCCUUAAAAUCAUGACUCUUGCAAGAAAUAAGCUAAAGAAUGUGUGGAAGGCUCA